GACGUCGAAUAUCGACGUCAUAAACACCAAAGUUGAUCGUGUUUAUUACGUCGAAUAUCGACGUCAUAAACACCAAAGUUGAUCGUGUUUAUAACGUGGACGUCAUAAACACCAAAGUUGAUAGUGUUUAUGACGUCGAAUAUCGACGUGAUAAACACCUAAGUGGAUCGUGUUUAUGACAUCGAAUAUCGACGUCAUAAACAUCUACGUUGAUCGUGUUUAUGACGUCGAAUAUCGAAGUC
Molecule: microRNA precursor, 242 nt
Filed under: Paramuricea clavata
Lineage: Eukaryota; Metazoa; Cnidaria; Anthozoa; Malacalcyonacea; Plexauridae
Source: RNAcentral